CUGCCCCCCGGUUCCGGUGCGGCGGCGACCAGGGGUCGCAGAAAAUGACGUUUCUUGCGAAAUGCAAAGGGGAACUAAUUUUUGGCAAAUCUUUUUAAUUCAUUUUCAUGAAUAUGUGAUGAAUGAAGGCCACAGCACAACUUCGGCCGUGAGGAUGUUACAAAAAGCAGCUGUGAAAGAAAUGUGGUGGAAAUGUGAGGCGUUGCAUUCAGACAGAAGGAAGGAAGACCAUGAACACCAUGAUACAGGAUUGAAUUUCUGUUGUAUACCUGUUAAUAGACCUUACUGUUGAAGACAUAUUGUAGAAUACUAAGCAGAGAGUAAUGUGUUUAUUCUGGUUUAUAUGGUGAUACAAUGCAUUGGUUUUCCUAAUAAUUGUUUAUUGGUUCUGGCCAAUUGAGAAUUUUUAAUCUGACUUGAAAAUCCUAUGAGUAUAAUUAAAAAAAAACCUG
Non-coding RNA from Paramormyrops kingsleyae, 452 nucleotides. Lineage: Eukaryota; Metazoa; Chordata; Actinopteri; Osteoglossiformes; Mormyridae. The record is from RefSeq and is a predicted model, not a curated record.